GUACAGCCGGGCAGCGAGGCUUCGGACGUCAUCAUUUUCAGCUCCUCCCAUAAAUGAAGCAAGCCUCGAUACGCGCGUCACGGAAACGCUCCCUCAAUUACGGUGCGUUCACACCGAACGCGAUAGAGGCGGCCAGAGCGUCAGGUUUACAUGUAAAGUUAAUGGAAAGGCGCGAUGACCCGCGAUUGCGGCUCCCGCGAAAAUUCGGAAGCAGAUUUGCGUCGCGAAAACGCCUGAAACGCGCGUGAGUGUAGCGCGUUUCAGGCGUUUGACUCGCGAAAAAAACCACACGCGUGAGUUUUUGUGUUGCAUUUUGUGCAUACACGCGUUUCGCGUCCCCCGCUCGAGUUGGAAAAAUCUGAACUCCAGCGUCAAAUCGCGCCGCGACAACCAAUCAGGAGCCUGGUGAUGUGGCUGUUACCUAGUUCAAAGGGGCAGAUCCAGCCAAAGCCAUUCAUUCUGCAUUCAUCAUGGAGGAAAAACUAAUCAGUGCUGUGGCAAAUCAUCCCGAAUUAUACGAUGCUACCUACUAUUUCUACCGAGACAGGAAUAAAAAGGACCUAGCUUGGAGACAAAUCAGUGAGGAGAUCGGGCAACCUGAGGACAUCUGCAGGAGAAAGUGGAAGAGCCUCAGGGACACCUAUAAGGAGAAGAGGGCAGAGAAGGAGAAGAGGAGUGGGUCUGCAGCAGGAUCGGGGAGGAGAUGGAAGUUCUUCGCGGUCAUGGGGUUUCUGGACCCCUUCCUCACCCCGCGGGAGACAAGCGGCAAUAUGGUGCGGACCGUGGAGAACUUCUCCCCCGAGGACCAGGGACAGUCCGAAGAGGCAGCAGGGGAGUGUCAGUCAGAAGAGUCAAGUAAUCAUGCAGCAGAGUCCUCCCAUGUUGCUUCUCCUGACUCCCCAGUCCCUGGUCCCUCCACUCCUGCUGCUGCACCCACAGGCCCACAGAGGAGGACAGCUCGAAGGCGGGCGAGGGAAGGGUCCCAGGACGGUCCAUCGGCGGUGGAGCUGGCUAUCCUGGAGACCCUAAAGAGGCCACGUCCGUCUGCAACUGAACAUUUCCUCCUCAGCCUUGUUCCUGCUCUGGAGAGCAUGCCGCCUCAGACACGAGAAUUCGUGAAAUUCCAAAUUUAUAAAUCAGUUUUUGAAAACAGCACAGCUGUGCUAAAUUUGGAAACAUUGGACCCUAAUGAUCAGUAGUUUUCUGAUGAGGCAGCAGCUCUCCAGAGCAGAAACAAUGUUCUUAUGUUUAUCCUCCUUCUCCCUGAGGCUCUUCCACUCCAAGCUGGGUCCUUUUUAUUCCUGUCUGUCUGUAAAUAGUUAGAUUUCAUAUAUUUAUGUUAUUUAUGUCCUUUUGUUACUGAAUUUAUAUAUUUUAUCAAAUAAACAUUUAUAAUGACAAAUGUCUUUGUUCUACUACACAGCAAAUAUUGGCA
Long non-coding RNA from Astatotilapia calliptera (eastern happy), 1435 nucleotides. Lineage: Eukaryota; Metazoa; Chordata; Actinopteri; Cichliformes; Cichlidae. The record is from Ensembl.